Stegodyphus mimosarum is the source of this 73-nucleotide non-coding RNA. NCBI's taxonomy places the organism in Eukaryota, Metazoa, Arthropoda, Arachnida, Araneae, Eresidae. The record is from Rfam.
GCCUUCAUGGUGUAACGGUUAGCACACUCGGCGCGUAUUCGAGAAGUCCAGGGUUCGAGUCCCGGCGAGGACA